RNAcentral lists this ribosomal RNA (485 nucleotides) under bacterium enrichment culture clone ALO1_GLFRUDD03HJ64M. Its description in RNAcentral is "bacterial SSU rRNA". It matches the Rfam family "Bacterial small subunit ribosomal RNA", at positions 9 to 507 of the family's 1533-position model. The record is from RNAcentral.
GAGUUUGAUCAUGGCUCAGGACGAACGCUGGCGGCGCGCCUAACACAUGUAAGUCGAACGGAGAAAGCGCUUCGGUGUUUUCUUAGUGGCGGACGGGUGAGUAACGCGUGAGGAACCUGCCCUUCAGAGGGGGAUAACGUCUGAAAACGGACGCUAAUACCGCAUGACAUAUUCGGGAGACAUCUUCUGAAUAUCAAAGGAGAAAUCCGCUGAAGGAUGGACUCGCGUCCGAUUAGGUAGUUGGUGAGGUAACGGCCCACCAAGCCCGCGAUCGGUAGCCGGACUGAGAGGUUGGCGGCCACAUUGGGACUGAGACACGGCCCAGACUCUUACGGGAGGCAGCAGUGGGGGAUAUUGCACAAUGGAGGAAACUCUGAUGCAGCGACGCCGCGUGAGGGAAGAAGGUCUUCGGAUUGUAAACCUCUGUCUUCAGGGACGAAACAAAUAGACGGUAACCUGAAGAGGAAGCCACGGCUAACUACGUG